This 517-nucleotide unclassified non-coding RNA is filed under the name uncultured Glomus. Its description in RNAcentral is "SSU rRNA". It matches the Rfam family "Eukaryotic small subunit ribosomal RNA", at positions 569 to 1090 of the family's 1831-position model. Lineage: Eukaryota; Fungi; Glomeromycota; Glomeromycetes; Glomerales; Glomeraceae. The record is from RNAcentral.
AGCAGCCGCGGUAAUUCCAGCUCCAAUAGCGUAUAUUAAAGUUGUUGCAGUUAAAAGCUCGUAGUUGAAUUUCGGGGUUAGUAGGUUGGUCAUGCCUCUGGUAUGUACUGGUCUCACUGAUUCCUCCUUCCUGAUGAGCCGUAAUGCCAUUAAUUUGGUGUUGCGGGGAAUUUGGACUGUUACUUUGAAAAAUUAGAGUGUUUAAAGCAAGCUAACGCUUGAAUACAUUAGCAUGGAAUAAUGAAAUAGGACGUUCGAUCCUAUUUUGUUGGUUUCUAGGAUUGACGUAAUGAUUAAUAGGGAUAUUGGGGGCAUUAGUAUUCAAUUGUCAGAGGUGAAAAUUCUUGGAUUUAUUGAAGACUAACUACUGCGAAAGCAUUUGCCAAGGAUGUUUUCAUUAAUCAAGAACGAAAGUUAGGGAUCGAAGACGAUCAGAUACCGUCGUAGUCUUAACCAUAAACUAUGCCGACUAGGGAUCGGAUGAUGUUAAUUUUUUAAUGACUCAUUCGGCGUCCCG